Molecule: ribosomal RNA, 550 nt
Filed under: Salmonella enterica subsp. enterica serovar Enteritidis
Lineage: Bacteria; Pseudomonadati; Pseudomonadota; Gammaproteobacteria; Enterobacterales; Enterobacteriaceae
Description: partial 23S ribosomal RNA
Rfam family: Bacterial large subunit ribosomal RNA (bases 1-385)
Source: RNAcentral
GUCACACUAUCAUUAACUGAAUCCAUAGGUUAAUGAGGCGAACCGGGGGAACUGAAACAUCUAAGUACCCCGAGGAAAAGAAAUCAACCGAGAUUCCCCCAGUAGCGGCGAGCGAACGGGGAGGAGCCCAGAGCCUGAAUCAGCAUGUGUGUUAGUGGAAGCGUCUGGAAAGGCGCGCGAUACAGGGUGACAGCCCCGUACACAAAAGCGCAUGUGCUGUGAGCUCGAUGAGUAGGGCGGGACACGUGGUAUCCUGUCUGAAUAUGGGGGGACCAUCCUCCAAGGCUAAAUACUCCUGACUGACCGAUAGUGAACCAGUACCGUGAGGGAAAGGCGAAAAGAACCCCGGCGAGGGGAGUGAAAAAGAACCUGAAACCGUGUACGUACAAGCAGUGGGAGCCCCACCACCAAAGCAUUUGCUGUACCGCGUUGACGGAGCGAAGCGACGUCAAACCGAUAAAACAGCAGUGUAAAGUGAGCCGCAGGGCGCUUUGCGCGACAGCGCAAAGGCAGGCGGUUUCGCGUAGCGAAAGCGAAUGCUUUGGGGUGG